This is a non-coding RNA of Camellia sinensis, 2326 nucleotides long. The record is from RefSeq and is a predicted model, not a curated record. Lineage: Eukaryota; Viridiplantae; Streptophyta; Magnoliopsida; Ericales; Theaceae.
CGUGGACCAACCAAUAACUUCUCCUAUUCUCUCAUCCUUACCCAAUUUUGCAUGAGAGAGAGAGAGAGAGAGAGAGAGCGAGAAGACGAAAGCAAAAGAGGCUUCAUUUUUUCUUCAUGGAAGUGGAAGCUCGAAACUCCCUAAACCAUUACCCCAAAACCCGUUCAGCUUUUUUAAUUAUUUGAGGGAGUUUUUAGUGUGAUUUAGGGUUAGAUUUGUGGGGCUUGGUGAAGAAUACUUGUAUAUAUUUUGAAGAUCUUAGAGUUUGGUGGUUUGAUUAUCCAUCUCUUCUUGCAACUAUUUGUUAAAGCUUCUCAAGAGGCGAGCUGCUUUUGCACUCUGCUGAACCGAUGCAGUUGCAGAGAUUGUUAAAAUCCAUGAACUUGAGACUUCUACUCUUGCCACUUUAUCAUCUCUGAAGGUUCUAAGUGAAAAUGCUGAUGCUCCAGGUGGAUGUGCUGUAUCUGUUGUUAAUGAAUCCCUUUAUGUUUAUCUCAAGAUUUGAGGAACUUUAAUGCAUAAGCAAAGCUUGAAAAGCUUCAGAAAAAGAUGGAGGACAUACAAAAGGUUCUUGAUGAUGACUGGCAUAUGGAAAUUGGAAUGCAAUGCUAUGCUGUGAGAUCAUUAUUAUAAAAACUCAGAGUCAACUUGUACAGAGGUUAGCCAUCCUUCAUGAUAUUUCUGGUGUGCCUAGGGCGGCAUGUGCACCUUUUGAAGAGGAGAACUUUGUUGAUGAUUUGAUUUCGCGUCGUUGGUUGUGGGGACAAACUAAGGCUGACUAUGAUAGUGAUUCUGAAAGUGAGGGUGAUGAUGGGGAUAGCUUAGAGACUAAUCUGAGUGCAAGGGAUGGUGAUGUUGCUAAGGUUACAGCAGAUGUUCCUAUUGAUGGGAUGAGAUCUCGAGGUGCUGCGCCAUAUGUUAAAGAUAGAGUGACCUUUGCGCCUCUUCUGUUGUAGUUAGGUCACCUGGUGGCACAUUCAGUUGGUCUUGGGAAAAAGACGAUGGUGACGAUCCAAUUGGUUGGUUGACUUUGGCUGAUGUUCAAUCUUGCCUGCCUUCUGGUGGAGUCCUUACCGUCUCUUUAUUUGGUUGGAGUUGUAGUUUGUCAUCGAUUGAUGCUCGUCCCAGUUUGCCUUCAAUUGGUGCUGAGGUUAACCUUCCUUUAGUGGAUAUUUAGCUUGGGACUUUGCCUACUUCGUCGGGAGUUGCUACCAAUUUGCCACUUGGUGAGAGUGGUAGUUGUGUUCAUGAUGAGACUAUUGCUCUUAGCAUUGGCUAUGGCGUUCAAGCGAGUUUACCUUCCGUGGAUGAUGAGUUUACUGUGACUCGUCUUGAUGAUGGUUGUAUAUCCUUGGCAGGGCCUGACAGCAAGGAGCGAGUUCUUGAUCCCAAGACGAAGGGACAGCCUAACAAAGAUGAUGGAUGCUUCUGGCUACUGAGAGAAGGUUGCACCUCAUAUUCGUGAAGAGAAUGUUGCAAAGCUUUCCACAUUCAUGCAAAAACUUGUCUUUUGAACAAGCUAGCCAGAUUCUUGAACGAGAGGUUGCAGCAGAGAAGCAUCAGAAAAUGAUAAUUGAACCUCACACUUCUAUAUUACAUUUCAUGGGCUAAGUAACAUUGCAAUGCGGAGACCACUGAAGCAUCAGAAAAUGAAAAUUGAACCUCACGCUUUCAUAUUAUAAUUCAUGGGCUAAGUAAGUAACAUUGCAGUGUGGAGACCACUGUUAUGAAAUUUAUUAGAAUAAUGUUUUUGUAAUGCUUCAAACUUCCACCCAUAAAUAUGAAUUAUAGUCGAUACCGAUUCUCCUAUGCUUUGUUUGGUUGGAAGAUUUGGAAAGAGAAAGAAAAAAGAUAUGAAACUAAGUGAAAUAUAGGUAUAUUUUAUUCACAUUUUAUCUAUCUUUUUUAUUUUUCUUUUCAAAUCUCUUCUCAAAUUCUUCAACCAAACACAGUAUUACUGUACAAAAUACAAAAAUGCUCUUGAUGGACGUACUUGUGGACAGGUAAGUUUUGCUCGGACAUUUCACAAUGUUAAAAUGAUAAAUGCAAUUUGUAUCUUUCUAGAAUGUAGUUAACUGUUAUAGGUGUCUUAUUCCAAAAACAUCUAGUGUUGUACUUGGAAGGAAUUUGAUCAAUUUCGAGUGGGACUUUAAUGCUGGCUCUAUUGCAAAGGUUACAAGACCAUUUGAGUUUAAAUUUGUGUCUGAGUUCUUGACCCAAUGUGGUCUUAGUUUUGUAUUUUGAGAUUUUUACGUGGAGCUAUUGUGAUAAGUGCAUGCAAACUCUUUUAUUCUAAUCAUAUAAUUAUGUGUGGAUAUUUUUAUUA